GACGAACGCUGGCGGCGCGCCUAAUACAUGCAAGUCGAGCGAGAACCAGGGCUUCGGCCCUGGGGACAGCGGCGAACGGGUGCGUAACACGUGAGCAACCUGCCCCGAAGACCGGGACGAGCCGGGGAAACCUGGUCUAAUACCGGAUGUUCACUUCGCAUCGCAUGGUGUGAUGAGGAAAUGGAUUCCGCGUCGGGAUGGGCUCGCGGUCUAUCAGCUGGUUGGUGGGGUAACGGCCUACCAAGGCGACGACGGAUAGCUGGUCUGGGAGGACGACCAGCCACACUGGGACUGAGACACGGCCCAGACUCCUACGGGAGGCAGCAGUAGGGAAUCUUGCGCAAUGGGGGAAACCCUGACGCAGCGACGCCGCGUGCGGGAUGAAGGCCUUCGGGUUGUAAACCGCUUUCAGCAGGGACGAAAUUGACGGUACCUGCAGAAGAAGGCCCGGCCAACUACGUGCCAGCCGCCGCAGUAA
Molecule: ribosomal RNA, 478 nt
Filed under: uncultured bacterium
Lineage: Bacteria
Description: partial 16S ribosomal RNA
Rfam family: Bacterial small subunit ribosomal RNA
Source: RNAcentral